UGGGGAAUCUUCGGCAAUGGACGAAAGUCUGACCGAGCAACGCCGCGUGAGUGAAGAAGGUUUUCGGAUCGUAAAACUCUGUUGUUAGAGAAGAACAAGGACGUUAGUAACUGAACGUCCCCUGACGGUAUCUCACCAGAAAGCCACGGCGAACUACGUGCCAGCAGCCGCGGUAAUACGUAGGUGGCAAGCGUUGUCCGGAUUUAUUGGGCGUAAAGCGUGCGCAGGUGGUUUCAUAAGUCUGAUGUGAAAGGCUCCGGCUUAACCGUGAAGGGGCAUUGGAAACUGUGAGACUAGAGUACAGAAGAGGUGGAUGGAAUUUCCUGUGUAGCGGUGAAAUGCGUAGAUAUUUGGAGGAACACCAGUGGCGAAGGCGGCUCUCUGGUCUGUAACUGACGCUGAGGCUCGAAAGCGUGGGGAGCAAAUAGG
This 429-nucleotide ribosomal RNA is filed under the name Gemmatimonadota bacterium. RNAcentral's name for it is "Gemmatimonadetes bacterium partial 16S ribosomal RNA". It matches the Rfam family "Bacterial small subunit ribosomal RNA", at positions 355 to 776 of the family's 1533-position model. Lineage: Bacteria; Pseudomonadati; Gemmatimonadota. The record is from RNAcentral.